RNAcentral lists this ribosomal RNA (407 nucleotides) under uncultured bacterium. RNAcentral describes it as "partial 16S ribosomal RNA". It matches the Rfam family "Bacterial small subunit ribosomal RNA", at positions 30 to 526 of the family's 1533-position model. The record is from RNAcentral.
AUUGCACGCUGGCGGCAGGCCUAACACAUGCAAGUCGAGCGGAGCGGCGGACGGGUGAGUCAUGCCUAGGAAUCUGCCUGGUAGUGGGGGAUAACGUCCGGAAACGGGCGCUAAUACCGCAUACUAUCAGAUGAGCCUAGGUCGGAUUAGCUAGUUGGUGGGGUAAAGGCCUACCAAGGCGACGAUCCGUAACUGGUCUGACAGGAUGAUCAGUCACACUGGAACUGAGAAACGGUCCAGACUCCUACGGUAGUCAGCAGUUGUGAAUAUUGGACAAUGGGCGAAAGCCUGAUCCAGCCAUGCCGCGUGUGUGAAGAAGGUCUUCUGAUUUUAAAGCACUUUAAGUUGGGAGGCGUUACCAACAGAAUAAGCACCGGCUAACUUCGUGCCAGCCGCCGCGGUAAUUC